UGUANCGUCCGCGACCCGCGCCGGUCCGCCGCCCCCGCCUGGGGAAUUUUCGAAUUGAUCUGACGGUACUUGAUGAAUAAGCCACGGCUAAUUCCGUGCCAGCAGCCGCGGUAAUACGGGAGUGGCAAGCGUUAUCCGGAAUUAUUGGGCGUAAAGCGUCCGCAGGCGGCCCUUCAAGUCUGCUGUUAAAAAGUGGAGCUUAACUCCAUCAUGGCAGUGGAAACUGUUGGGCUUGAGUGUGGUAGGGGCAGAGGGAAUUCCCGGUGUAGCGGUGAAAUGCGUAGAUAUCGGGAAGAACACCAGUGGCGAAGGCGCUCUGCUGGGCCAUCACUGACGCUCAUGGACGAAAGCCAGGGGAGCGAAUGGGAUUAGAUACCCCGGUAUCCAC
RNAcentral lists this ribosomal RNA (388 nucleotides) under uncultured Synechococcus sp. RNAcentral's name for it is "bacterial SSU rRNA". It matches the Rfam family "Bacterial small subunit ribosomal RNA", at positions 446 to 797 of the family's 1533-position model. The record is from RNAcentral. Lineage: Bacteria; Bacillati; Cyanobacteriota; Cyanophyceae; Synechococcales; Synechococcaceae.